This 481-nucleotide ribosomal RNA is filed under the name Flavobacteriaceae bacterium JJ-2028. RNAcentral's name for it is "bacterial SSU rRNA". It matches the Rfam family "Bacterial small subunit ribosomal RNA", at positions 8 to 490 of the family's 1533-position model. Lineage: Bacteria; Pseudomonadati; Bacteroidota; Flavobacteriia; Flavobacteriales; Flavobacteriaceae. The record is from RNAcentral.
AGAGUUUUGAUCCAUGCUCAGGAUGAACGCUAGCGGCAGGCUUAACACAUGCAAGUCGAGGGGUAUAAGUCUUCGGAUUUAGAGACCGGCGCACGGGUGCGUAACGCGUAUGCAAUCUACCUUUUACAGAGGGAUAGCCCAGAGAAAUUUGGAUUAAUACCUCAUAGUAUUAUAGAAUGGCAUCAUUUUAUAAUUAAAGUCACAACGGUAAAAGAUGAGCAUGCGUCCCAUUAGCUAGUUGGUAAGGUAACGGCUUACCAAGGCUACGAUGGGUAGGGGUCCUGAGAGGGAGAUCCCCCACACUGGUACUGAGACACGGACCAGACUCCUACGGGAGGCAGCAGUGAGGAAUAUUGGACAAUGGGCGCAAGCCUGAUCCAGCCAUGCCGCGUGCAGGAUGACGGUCCUAUGGAUUGUAAACUGCUUUUAUACGAGAAGAAACACUCCUUCGUGAAGGAAUUGACGGUAUCGUAAGAAUAGA